Molecule: non-coding RNA, 97 nt
Filed under: uncultured Caecibacter sp.
Lineage: Bacteria; Bacillati; Bacillota; Negativicutes; Veillonellales; Veillonellaceae
Description: SAM riboswitch (S box leader)
Rfam family: SAM riboswitch aptamer (S box leader)
About the family: The SAM riboswitch is found upstream of a number of genes which code for proteins involved in methionine or cysteine biosynthesis in Gram-positive bacteria.
Source: RNAcentral
CAUCAAGAGACGACGGAGGGACUGGCCUUAUGAUGUCGCAGCAACCUUCAGUAUUGAAAAGGUGCUAAAUCCAACAGAUUACGAUUUCUGGAAGAUG